CUGUUUCUAUCUGGGUAGGGCUUAUAAAAUGAAUAUGGGUGUCGAUACCGCCGGCGGUAAGAAUAUACCCCGCGCCGCCAUGUACUUCCGUAGAAGCGCCAAUGAUCAUAUUGGGUGAAAUGUUAUCGGAAGUAUCCGGGUUGCCGGCACAGCCCACCCCCACAAUUUUUCCGUCCUUAAUGCCCACAUCACCCUUUACGAUACCCCAGUGGUCAAUCACAAUUACAUCGGUAAUAACCAGGUCCAGCACGCCCUGAUCGCGCACCGCGGUAGACGAUUGGCACAUGCCAUCCCGG
RNAcentral lists this small RNA (296 nucleotides) under Niabella soli DSM 19437. RNAcentral describes it as "5' ureB small RNA". It matches the Rfam family "5' ureB small RNA". The record is from Rfam by way of RNAcentral. Lineage: Bacteria; Pseudomonadati; Bacteroidota; Chitinophagia; Chitinophagales; Chitinophagaceae.